AUGCAUGUGCCACCAAGAGUUUCUCCAAGAAUAAUAAGGCCAUCUCUGCCUCCUAAUUCUGCACAAUUUAUUCAUCCACAAUCAUUGCGGCCUUUUGGUGGCCACAUAGGAUUCCAUGAACUAGCACCUCCAGUGGUAUUUGUCCCAGCUCCAGCUCCAGCUCCACCCCUGGAUUCACUAAGAGGUGUUCCCUUUGUGCCUCCAAUGGCACAUCCCACUCUUUAUUAUGCAGGGGGCCAGACCCUCAGUUGCAUAGUAUGA
Non-coding RNA from Vicia faba (fava bean), 261 nucleotides. NCBI's taxonomy places the organism in Eukaryota, Viridiplantae, Streptophyta, Magnoliopsida, Fabales, Fabaceae. The record is from the annotation of a GenBank genome assembly.